AUUAAGAUGGCAGAGCCCAGCAAUUGCAUAAAACCUAAGACUUAAUAAUCAGAAGUUCAACUCCUCUUCUUAACA
This is a non-coding RNA of Macaca mulatta (Rhesus monkey), 75 nucleotides long. NCBI's taxonomy places the organism in Eukaryota, Metazoa, Chordata, Mammalia, Primates, Cercopithecidae. The record is from Rfam.